GAUGAACGCUGGCGGCGUGCCUAAUACAUGCAAGUCGAGCGAACAGACGAGGAGCUUGCUCCUCUGACGUUAGCGGCGGACGGGUGAGUAACACGUGGAUAACCUACCUAUAAGACUGGGAUAACUUCGGGAAACCGGAGCUAAUACCGGAUAAUAUAUUGAACCGCAUGGUUCAAUAGUGAAAGACGGUUUUGCUGUCACUUAUAGAUGGAUCCGCGCCGCAUUAGCUAGUUGGUAAGGUAACGGCUUACCAAGGCAACGAUGCGUAGCCGACCUGAGGGGGUGAUCGGCCACACUGGAACUGCGACACGGUCCAGACUCCUACGGGAGGCAGCAGUAGGGAAUCUUCCGCAAUGGGCGAAAGCCUGACGGAGCAACGCCGCGUGAGUGAUGAAGGUCUUCGGAUCGUAAAACUCUGUUAUUAGGGAAGAACAAAUGUGUAAGUAACUAUGCACGUCUUGACGGUACCUAAUCAGAAAGCCACGGCUAACUACGUG
Molecule: ribosomal RNA, 497 nt
Filed under: uncultured bacterium
Lineage: Bacteria
Description: partial 16S ribosomal RNA
Rfam family: Bacterial small subunit ribosomal RNA
Source: RNAcentral